UGUAAUCCAACCUCUUACAUGUGUAAUUCCAUGUCAUUUUUCCAAUGACAUGUAAGAAAUUAAAUAUUAAGAAAAUAAAAAAACCCAAAUAUUUUAACUUUUAGAAAUUUUUGAAUAGUCAUGUUCUUCAACAUCCAUAUAUGCUCACAAUUUGAGCACCAAAUUCAUGUCAAAUAGAUGAAUUUUUUCUUUAUUUGACUUGAAA
This 205-nucleotide long non-coding RNA is filed under the name Solanum tuberosum (potato). Its description in RNAcentral is "long non-coding RNA (STUB_LNC010062)". Lineage: Eukaryota; Viridiplantae; Streptophyta; Magnoliopsida; Solanales; Solanaceae. The record is from RNAcentral.